RNAcentral lists this ribosomal RNA (618 nucleotides) under uncultured bacterium. Its description in RNAcentral is "bacterial SSU rRNA". The stretch from base 1 to 532 matches the Rfam family "Bacterial small subunit ribosomal RNA", at positions 338 to 873 of the family's 1533-position model. The record is from RNAcentral.
CCUACGGGAGGCAGCAGUAAGGAAUAUUGGUCAAUGGACGAAAGUCUGAACCAGCCAUGCCGCGUGAAGGAUGAAGGCCCUCUGGGUUGUAAACUUCUUUUAUCUGGGACGAAAAAAGCUCAUUCUUGAGCACUUGACGGUACCAGAGGAAUAAGCACCGGCUAACUCCGUGCCAGCAGCCGCGGUAAUACGGAGGGUGCAAGCGUUAUCCGGAUUCACUGGGUUUAAAGGGUGCGUAGGUGGGUCUGUAAGUCAGUGGUGAAAUCUCCGAGCUUAACUCGGAAACUGCCAUUGAUACUAUAGGUCUUGAAUCAUCUGGAGGUAAGCGGAAUAUGUCAUGUAGCGGUGAAAUGCUUAGAUAUGACAUAGAACACCAAUUGCGAAGGCAGCUUACUACGGGUGUAUUGACACUGAGGCACGAAAGCGUGGGGAUCAAACAGGAUUAGAUACCCUGGUAGUCCACGCCCUAAACGAUGGAUACUCGACAUCAGCGAUACACUGUUGGUGUCUGNGNGAAGANAUAGUAUCCNCCGUCGGUAGUACGACCGCGAGUUAGUUAAAGUUAAAGUUAAGUUAGUUAGCGNGNGAGAGCGACGACGACGACGACGGAGGAGGAGG